RNAcentral lists this ribosomal RNA (501 nucleotides) under uncultured bacterium. RNAcentral's name for it is "partial 16S ribosomal RNA". It matches the Rfam family "Bacterial small subunit ribosomal RNA", at positions 30 to 523 of the family's 1533-position model. The record is from RNAcentral.
AUUGAACGCUGGCGGCAGGCUUAACACAUGCAAGUCGAGCGGGGGAAGGUAGCUUGCUACCGGACCUAGCGGCGGACGGGUGAGUAAUGCUUAGGAAUCUGCCUAUUAGUGGGGGACAACAUCUCGAAAGGGAUGCUAAUACCGCAUACGUCCUACGGGAGAAAGCAGGGGAUCUUCGGACCUUGCGCUAAUAGAUGAGCCUAAGUCGGAUUAGCUAGUUGAUGGGGUAAAGGCCUACCAAGGCGACGAUCUGUAGCGGGUCUGAGAGGAUGAUCCGCCAGACUGGGACUGAGACACGGCCCAGACUCCUACGGGAGGCAGCAGUGGGGAAUAUUGGACAAUGGGGGGAACCCUGAUCCAGCCAUGCCGCGUGUGUGAAGAAGGCCUUAUGGUUGUAAAGCACUUUAAGCGAGGAGGAGGCUACUCUAGUUAAUACCUAGGGAUAGUGGACGUUACUCGCAGAAUAAGCACCGGCUAACUCUGUGCCAGCCGCCGCGGUAA